Long non-coding RNA from Centropristis striata (black sea bass), 910 nucleotides. RefSeq lists it as uncharacterized. The record is from RefSeq and is a predicted model, not a curated record. The transcript has 3 exons. Lineage: Eukaryota; Metazoa; Chordata; Actinopteri; Perciformes; Serranidae.
UGAGGCCACAAGACAAGGCAGCAGCGCUCCCAGGGGUUUUCUCAUUAUGCCCGGAUUAAUGGAGGGAAAUGGACAUGCAGCUAAAAACAAAGACAAUGCUUGACGGCACUAUGUCAGACAGCACCAGCUAUAGCUGUCAGAAGAAGCUAGACAGGGAUUCUCAGUAUGGACAUCAUGGCAGAAGCGAAGAGCCCAUACUUGUAAAAAUACAAACCUCAUACACACGCUCCCUCAAGAUGCAGCUGUCGAGUCUCCUCCGGUGAAAUUCCUCUCAUGGGAGCCAUGAGGUCGAAGCAGUUGUACUCUUUGAGGAUCUGAAAGGGAAAAGACAAAAAGCUUGAGGCCGGAACUUACAUGAUGUCUCAAAUCUGACACAGCUCUUUUGAAGAAGAUGUGGGAAGCAACGGAGCUCUCAUAAAUCGUUUCUUACCUUCUCCACUUCUUCACUGCUGCCCUCUACGGCUUCGUACGAGUCGAUACGGGCAGAGAUGGUGGCCAGCUUCUGUUGUUCCUGACGCUGUCGCAUCUGGGACUCCACGCUGUUGAUGAAGCCCUCUACUGCAGCCACCUUGAGGAGGAAAAACACAGAAAUAAACUCAUGUUCAGGCACGUUUAAAGUGUCAAUUACAGAACCAGCAUGUCAUACAUUUUUCCUCAUGCUUACCCUGUGGUGGAGGAAGUAUUCAGUAAUAAUACCACACUGGACUAAUACUACAUCCUGAAUUCGGUAAAAGUACUCGAUGCAGAAAAAAUGUCCUCUGUGACUGUAUUACUAUUAAAUCAUUAGGUUACUAUUAAUUAACUCAUGUAAAAGCAGGGGGUGAAGGUGGAAACACUGGAAAAACUGAAAAUGUCUCUUCUUUGUUAACAUACUGCUGCAUUUUCUUCAAUAAAGUGAUGUUUUGUUUUU